Molecule: transfer RNA, 90 nt
Filed under: Pseudomonadales bacterium
Lineage: Bacteria; Pseudomonadati; Pseudomonadota; Gammaproteobacteria; Pseudomonadales
Description: tRNA-Ser
Rfam family: tRNA
About the family: Transfer RNA (tRNA) molecules are approximately 80 nucleotides in length. Their secondary structure includes four short double-helical elements and three loops (D, anti-codon, and T loops). Further hydrogen bonds mediate the characteristic L-shaped molecular structure. tRNAs have two regions of fundamental functional importance: the anti-codon, which is responsible for specific mRNA codon recognition, and the 3' end, to which the tRNAs corresponding amino acid is attached (by aminoacyl-tRNA synthetases). tRNAs cope with the degeneracy of the genetic code in two manners: having more than one tRNA (with a specific anti-codon) for a particular amino acid; and 'wobble' base-pairing, i.e. permitting non-standard base-pairing at the 3rd anti-codon position.
Source: RNAcentral
GGAGAGGUGCCGGAGUGGCCGAACGGGCCUGACUCGAAAUCAGGAAGCCUCGCAAGAGGCUCUAGGGUUCAAAUCCCUACCUCUCCGCCA